Molecule: RNA transcript, 1266 nt
Organism: Drosophila bipectinata
Lineage: Eukaryota; Metazoa; Arthropoda; Insecta; Diptera; Drosophilidae
Gene: BI-1
Gene name: Bax Inhibitor-1
Source: RefSeq, a predicted model, not a curated record
GACUUUUUUCAUAAGAAAAUUCGUGAAAUACACAAAAGAAAACAGAAAAGUGGAAAAUAAAGAACAAAGCUCAAGUAGGCGCUGCGAACUAAACAGUCAGUUACUAAAUAUCCCAAAAACAGUCGCAUUCACUCCUCCGUUUGAAUAACAAAAUUAAAUAGCACCAGAGAGAAAAAUAUUAAAAGCAAGUGUGAAAUAAAUAAAGACCAAAAAUGGCAGAGACGGCCCAAAACCUUCAGGAUCGAUUCAAUACCUUUAUGAAUGGGCUAGGCGACCGCUAUGAGCCCUAUGUGCGGGAGCACCUGUCCAAGGUGUACAUGGUCCUCGCUAGCACUGCUGCUGCCACGGCUGUGGGAGCCUUACUCCAGAUGCGCGAACUGCUCGAUCUGGGCGUGCUGGCGGCAGUGGCCACCCUAAUCCUGGUCUUGGGUCUACACUUCUACAAGGAUGAUGGCAAAAACUAUACCACACGCCUAAGCAUGCUUUAUGCCUUUGGGUUCUGCUCCGGCCAGACCCUGGGUCCGCUCCUCGGCUAUAUUUGCAGCAUUAACCCGGCCAUCAUACUCACGGCCCUCACAGGCACAUUCGUUACCUUCAUAACGCUCUCCCUCGCUGCCCUUCUGGCUGAGCAGGGCAAGUACCUCUACUUGGGCGGGAUGCUGGUCAGCGUUAUAAACACCAUGGCCCUUUUGAGUCUCUUCAACAUGAUCUUCAAGUCGUACUUUGUGCAAGUGACUCAACUCUAUGUGGGAGUUUUCGUGAUGGCCGCCUUUAUUGUUUACGACACCCAAAACAUUGUGAUGAAGUGCCGAAAUGGAAAUCGCGAUGUUGUCCAGCACGCCCUUGACCUUUUCUUCGACGUUCUCAGCAUGUUCCGUCGUUUGCUGAUUAUCCUGACUCAAAAGCUCAAGUCCUUCAUGGUUUGAACCUAUUUGUGGCGAAGCGAGAUCCGAUAAUCGCCGAACAGUCGCUGAACACUUUGCAAAUGUUUUCCAAAACUAGCUAAAUAAGAUCAAACGGAGGAGCGGAAACAGUCCGAACGUCGCAAGAGGAACUAAGCCAAGUUUAUAAAAUUACCAUGCAGUGAAGACACUUUAAUGAAACCAUAGAGGACUUUGGAAGCUGGCAAUUUCUCCUUUUAUCAAUUUAUUCGAAUGAAGAAUAAAACAUAGCCGUGUAUAUUUGGCUUUAAAUUUAUAUGAAACGACGUUCACUGUAAAACCACUUAGAAAUUCCCAAUUUAAUAAAACCCACUAAAAAAAGAAA